GACAGAGGGGGCAAGCGUUGCUCGGAAUUACUGGGCGUAAAGGGCGCGUAGGCGGGAUGGCAAGUCGGUCGUGAAAUCCCUCGGCCCAACCGAAGAACGUCGAUCGAUACUGCUGUUCUAGAGGAUUGCAGAGGAGACUGGAAUUCCCGGUGUAGCGGUGAAAUGUGUAGAGAUCGGGAGGAACACCGGUGGCGAAGGCGGGUCUCUGGGCAAUUCCUGACGCUGAGGCGCGAAAGCGUGGGGAGCAAACGGG
Molecule: ribosomal RNA, 253 nt
Filed under: uncultured bacterium
Lineage: Bacteria
Description: partial 16S ribosomal RNA
Rfam family: Bacterial small subunit ribosomal RNA
Source: RNAcentral